RNAcentral lists this long non-coding RNA (204 nucleotides) under Lathyrus oleraceus (garden pea). RNAcentral describes it as "Pisum sativum (pea) long non-coding RNA (PSAT_LNC016957)". The record is from RNAcentral. Lineage: Eukaryota; Viridiplantae; Streptophyta; Magnoliopsida; Fabales; Fabaceae.
CAGAUUUUGGUCCUUAGGUUUGGGCUUCGCUUGUCUUUUGGCUUUGAGGGGGUCUGGAUAGCAUUUGUCUUGUGAUUCUCCUAGUUUCUUUGACUUGCAUAAUUUUAUAAAAGUAAAAACCAAAAUAAAAAGUGAAACUGAAACAAAAACAAAAACAGAAAUUAAAUAUAAAUAUAAAUAAAUAACUGAAAAAAUUAAAAUGCA